RNAcentral lists this transfer RNA (72 nucleotides) under Capra hircus (goat). It matches the Rfam family "tRNA". Rfam says of the family: Transfer RNA (tRNA) molecules are approximately 80 nucleotides in length. Their secondary structure includes four short double-helical elements and three loops (D, anti-codon, and T loops). Further hydrogen bonds mediate the characteristic L-shaped molecular structure. tRNAs have two regions of fundamental functional importance: the anti-codon, which is responsible for specific mRNA codon recognition, and the 3' end, to which the tRNAs corresponding amino acid is attached (by aminoacyl-tRNA synthetases). tRNAs cope with the degeneracy of the genetic code in two manners: having more than one tRNA (with a specific anti-codon) for a particular amino acid; and 'wobble' base-pairing, i.e. permitting non-standard base-pairing at the 3rd anti-codon position. RNAcentral also lists the same sequence under 1 other name. Lineage: Eukaryota; Metazoa; Chordata; Mammalia; Artiodactyla; Bovidae. The record is from Rfam by way of RNAcentral.
UCCCUGGUGGCUCAGAGGGUAAAGCGUCUGCCUGCCAUGCAGGAGACCCAGGUUCGAUCCCUGGGUUGGGAA